GAUGAAGAACGCAGCGAAAUGCGAUAAGUAAUGUGAAUUGCAGAAUUCAGUGAGUCAUCGAAUCUUUGAACGCACAUUGCGCCCCUUGGUAUUCCGAGGGGCAUGCCUGUUCGAGCGUCAUUAUAACCCCUCAAGCUCAGCUUGGUGUUGGGGCCUGCUGCACUGGCAGCCCUUAAAAUCAGUGGCGGCGCCAUCUGGCUCUAAGCGUAGUAAUUCUUCUCGCUAUGGAGUCCUGGUGGAUGCUUGCCAUCAACCCCCAAUUUUUCUAUGGUUGACCUCGGACCAGGUAGGGAUACCCGCUGAACUUAAGCAUAUCAAUAAGCGGAGGA
Molecule: unclassified non-coding RNA, 329 nt
Filed under: soil metagenome
Description: partial contains 5.8S ribosomal RNA, internal transcribed spacer 2, and large subunit ribosomal RNA
Rfam family: 5.8S ribosomal RNA (bases 1-120)
Source: RNAcentral